This 75-nucleotide microRNA precursor is filed under the name Poecilia formosa (Amazon molly). RNAcentral describes it as "miRNA (ENSPFOG00000021508.1)". Lineage: Eukaryota; Metazoa; Chordata; Actinopteri; Cyprinodontiformes; Poeciliidae. The record is from RNAcentral.
GGUCCUGGUCCUGGCUCUGGUCCUGGUCCUUGCUCUGGCUCUGGUCCUGGCUCUGGUUCUGGUCCUGGUCCUGGC